CCUACGGGUGACAGCAGUGAGGAAUAUUGGUCAAUGGACGAGAGUCUGAACCAGCCAAGUAGCGUGAAGGAUGACUGCCCUAUGGGUUGUAAACUUCUUUUAUAUGGGAAUAAAAUGUUCCACGUGUGGGAUUUUGUAUGUACCAUAUGAAUAAGGAUCGACUAACUCCGUGCCAGCAGCCGCGGUAAUACGGAGGAUCCGAGCGUUAUCCGGAUUUAUUGGGUUUAAAGGGAGCGUAGGUGGAUUGUUAAGUCAGUUGUGAAAGUUUGCGGCUCAACCGUAAAAUUGCAGUUGAAACUGGCAGUCUUGAGUACAGUAGAGGUGGGCGGAAUUCGUGGUGUAGCGGUGAAAUGCUUAGAUAUCACGAAGAACUCCGAUUGCGAAGGCAGUUCACUGGACUGCAACUGACACUGAGGCUCGAAAGUGUGGGUAUCAAACAGGAUUAGAUACCCGGGUAGUC
Molecule: ribosomal RNA, 460 nt
Filed under: uncultured bacterium
Lineage: Bacteria
Description: partial 16S ribosomal RNA
Rfam family: Bacterial small subunit ribosomal RNA
Source: RNAcentral